RNAcentral lists this ribosomal RNA (460 nucleotides) under uncultured bacterium. Its description in RNAcentral is "partial 16S ribosomal RNA". It matches the Rfam family "Bacterial small subunit ribosomal RNA", at positions 338 to 795 of the family's 1533-position model. The record is from RNAcentral.
CCUACGGGGGGCAGCAGUGAGGAAUAUUGGUCAAUGGGUGGGAGCCUGAACCAGCCAAGUCGCGUGAAGGAAGAAGGUACUUAGUAUUGUAAACUUCUUUUGUCGGGGAACAAAGGCGGAGACGCGUCUCCGGAUGAGUGUACCCGAAGAAAAAGCAUCGGCUAACUCCGUGCCAGCAGCCGCGGUAAUACGGAGGAUGCGAGCGUUAUCCGGAUUUAUUGGGUUUAAAGGGAGCGUAGGCCGGUCUUUAAGCGUGCCGUGAAAUUUUGUGGCUCAACCAUGAGAGUGCGGCGCGAACUGGAGACCUUGAGUGCGCGGAAGGCAGGCGGAAUGCGUGGUGUAGCGGUGAAAUGCUUAGAUAUCACGAAGAACCCCGAUUGCGAAGGCAGCCUGCCGCAGCGUUACUGACGCUGAAGCUCGAAAGCGCGGGUAUCGAACAGGAUUAGAUACCCCAGUAGUC